This 253-nucleotide ribosomal RNA is filed under the name uncultured bacterium. Its description in RNAcentral is "partial 16S ribosomal RNA". It matches the Rfam family "Bacterial small subunit ribosomal RNA", at positions 524 to 776 of the family's 1533-position model. The record is from RNAcentral.
UACAGAGGGUGCGAGCGUUGUUCGGAAUUAUUGGGUGUAAAGCGCUUGUAGGUGGCUUGUUAAGUCCUGUGUGAAAGCCCUUGGCUUAACCAAGGAAGUGCGCAGGAAACUGGCGAGCUUGAGUGCCGGAGAGGGUCGCGGAAUUCCCGGUGUAGAGGUGAAAUUCGUAGAUAUCGGGAGGAACACCAGUGGCGAAGGCGGCGACCUGGACGGACACUGACACUGAGACGCGAAAGUGUGGGGAGUAAACAGG